UAAGCUAUAUAGAAAGUUAACUGAGGCAA
This 29-nucleotide non-coding RNA is filed under the name Homo sapiens (human). Lineage: Eukaryota; Metazoa; Chordata; Mammalia; Primates; Hominidae. The record is from RNAcentral.